Molecule: long non-coding RNA, 243 nt
Filed under: Homo sapiens (human)
Lineage: Eukaryota; Metazoa; Chordata; Mammalia; Primates; Hominidae
Description: HSALNT0047575
Source: RNAcentral
AGUGAGGUAUGGCGUGUCCUCUCCAUGACAAUGUGAGGGAAAGUGAUGUAUGCCACUUCCAGGUUCUAUGGAACCCUGGAAUGAAGAGGAUGCCAACCUUGAAAAGCUAUUCUAGUUCUUUCAAUGUGCCAUAAUGGUAUAGGAGCAAAUGUUUCUGCUGAGGACACAGCAACGAAGCACCAAUUUUCACUGAGGUUCCUCACCAAACACUGAAUCCGCAAGUGCCUUGAUAUUGAACUUUCC